UCCCAGGUGUUUCACUGGUAAAGAAUCUGCCUGCAAAGCAGGAGAUGCAGGUUUGAUCCCUGGGUUGGGAA
This 71-nucleotide transfer RNA is filed under the name Bos taurus (domestic cattle). It matches the Rfam family "tRNA". Rfam says of the family: Transfer RNA (tRNA) molecules are approximately 80 nucleotides in length. Their secondary structure includes four short double-helical elements and three loops (D, anti-codon, and T loops). RNAcentral also lists the same sequence under 4 other names. Lineage: Eukaryota; Metazoa; Chordata; Mammalia; Artiodactyla; Bovidae. The record is from Rfam by way of RNAcentral.